CCUACGGGAGGCAGCAGUGGGGGAUAUUGCACAAUGGGGGGAACCCUGAUGCAGCGACGCCGCGUGGGUGAAGAAGCGCCUCGGCGCGUAAAGCCCUGUCAGCAGGGAAGAAAAUGACGGUACCUGAAGCAGAAGCCCCGGCUAACUACGUUCCAGCAGCCGCGGUAAUACCUAGGGGGCAAGCGUUAUCCGGAUGUACUGGGUGUAAAGGGGGCGCAGACGGCGAUGCACGCCAGGGGUGAAAGCCGGGGGCCCAACCCCGGGACUGCUUUUGGAACUGCGUGGCUGGAGUGCAGGAGGGGCAGGCGGAAUUCCUGGUGUAGCGGUGAAAUGCGUAGAUAUCAGGAGGAACACCGGUGGCGAAGGCGGCCUGCUGGACUGCAACUGACGUUGAGGCCCGAAAGCGUGGGGAGCAAACAGGAUUAGAUACCCGAGUAGUC
RNAcentral lists this ribosomal RNA (440 nucleotides) under uncultured bacterium. RNAcentral describes it as "partial 16S ribosomal RNA". It matches the Rfam family "Bacterial small subunit ribosomal RNA", at positions 338 to 795 of the family's 1533-position model. The record is from RNAcentral.